ACUCAAAUGAAUAGACGGGGGCCCGCACAAGCAGCGGAGCGUGUGGUUUAAUUCGACGCGACGCGAAGAACCUUACCAGGGCUUGACAUGACCACCGAUACCUUAGAGAUAGGGUAGCCCUUCGGGGGGUGGCCACAGGUGUUGCAUGGCUGUCGUCAGCUCGUGCCGUGAGGUGUUGGGUUAAGUCCCGCAACGAGCGCAACCCUCGUCGCUAGUUAGGCUGUCUAGCGAGACUGCCGGAAGCAAACCGGAGGAAGGCGGGGAUGACGUCAAGUCAGCAUGGCCCUUACGUCCUGGGCUACACACACGCUACAAUGGCCGGUACAACGGGUAGCAAGAGCGCGAGCUGGAGCUAAUCCCAUCAAAGCCGGUCUCAGUUCAGAUUGCAGGCUGCAACUCGCCUGCAUGAAGGAGGAGUUGCUAGUAACCGUGGGUCAGCACACCGCGGUGAAUAUGUUCCCGGGCCUUGUACACACCGCCCGU
RNAcentral lists this ribosomal RNA (483 nucleotides) under uncultured bacterium. RNAcentral's name for it is "partial 16S ribosomal RNA". It matches the Rfam family "Bacterial small subunit ribosomal RNA", at positions 899 to 1397 of the family's 1533-position model. The record is from RNAcentral.